ACUGGCAGGGAAGGUCCAAGGAUGGAGCCUUCGGGUGCUCACUUUUUCCUCUUGGGAGGCUGGGUGAGAGCCAGAACUCAUCUGUUAAUAAACAAUGUUCUUCAUAGAGAAAUGGCCUAAGCUUCUUAACUGAGCAGAAAUUCUAGGACGAAGCCCUUCCUGACUCCAAGUCCAGUGCUCUACUCAGGGUACCACCAGUCUCUUUGGUACCAGAAGAUGGGCCUAAAUAGUAGUGUUUCCAGAAAAUGAAGCACAAGACCCAUCCAACCAUGAGUCUGGUCCCCAGGGAGGUGACUCGCUCCCCAAGGAAGCCCAGAAGGAAGAGCUGCCCAUUGGUGAAGGUCUCCUGGCCAUAUUACUCCCACACUCACAUUCUCUCACACACACACACACACACACACACACACUCCAUAGUCAUUUUCUGUGCCUCAGCCUUCUUCAAAUGAAGGAUGAGGGAAAACCCAGCUUCCUAACAACCCAACAAAGGAGAAGUUAAUCAUUGAUGCUCUUGAAACAGAAAGGAAAGAACAAAGUCCACUCUUUCUAGAAAGGACCCUCUCCCAUUCUUUGUCCAGAGGCUUUGGGGGCAACAAAAGGAGGGGAAGAUGACAUGGAAGCACUGGAUGGAAGCACUGGAAGGAUGGCCCUCUCGGUCAGAACCGGAGAAGAGAUGUGUUGGAAAACAAAGGGAGAGGGCCAGAACUUGUGAUUUCAGUGUUGAGAAAUAGAGAUUCUGUAGCAGUGUCUGGCACCUAGCAGGAGAUAAAUCCAUGUUUAUUGACUGACUGACAAAAGAUAUUAGUAAAAAUUCUAAAGGAAGAAAAACAUUUUAAUCCCUUGAGCUUCACCCCAGAGCGGUUCUUUCUUUAGUAAUCUGUCUGCUAUGCCAAUAUGUACUGCCAAGCCUCUGCCAGGUGAGCUUCCUCUACUGUGGCUUCCAAGUUCAAAUUAUUUUAUGUAUUUAACACCUAGUCUAGACAAAGUGCCCUACAAGGCCACUUCCCUUAUGGAGGGCCCAGGUGCAUACACUAAAGCUAUGAUUCAUUGUAUCUAUAUUAGUAAAAACCAACCAAAAAAGGGGAUAGCUAGGUGACCAAUGGAUUGAGAGCCAGACCUAGAGGCAGGAGGUCCUGGGUUCAAAUGUGGCCUCAGAUACUUCCUAGCUAUGUAACCCUGGGAAAAUCACUUAACCCCCCCCCAUUGUCUAGCCCUUACUACCCUUCUGCCUUGGAAAUACUAUUGGUUCUAUGAUGGAAGGCAGAGGUUUAAAAAAAAUCAAUUUAAGAAAUGGGAAGGCAAUGUCUAUUUGUACUAUGACAACCCAGGUGUAGUUUCUAAGCAAAACUGGAAACUAAAAUUACUCCCCAAUUGGGCCUCAAUGUUUCCACUCAAAUAGAGUUCUUUCUCUUUCCCCUGCCUUUACAAAGAAAGGUGGAGGGAAAGAGGGAGGGGGCAUUCUUAUUUCUCUUCUUUGGAACCAAAUAUGGUCAUCAGCAUCAUCAAAGCUCACAUUUACUGAGUGCCCACUAUGUACCAGGCACUGAACUGUGCUAAACCCUUUCCAAGUGAGGUCCCAAGAAACCACAAAUUACUCUACUAAGAUAAAGUUGAAAAGUGUGUCCAGACCAUCACCAUCGAAAUCACUGUCUGGUGGUUUCCUAGCAUUCACAUUCAGGGGCCCAGAACCAAAACAAGUCUAAUCUUUUGUAACUGUAUCCAGGAAAUCAAAGUCUAAGAUCAUUUCAAAUCUGGGAAGGCAAAUCAAACGUUCAAGUUGACCGUGUUUUUCAGGAGUGAAGCAUUAGGAAAGAAAACCUCAUUUGGGAAAGUCAGCUUGGAGACCUUUUGGGCCCUUCCAGUAAAUGAUGCCUUGGUCUCCCUGCAACAGGCCCCUCCUCAAGUUCUACAAGCACCUCUCUCUUCCACGCCAAAGUCACUUCUUUUCAAAUUCCCAAUUCCAUCAAGUCUUCAAAGAUUCAGUGAUCCAAGAGAAAAAUCCUCAUCCAAGCUUAGCUCAGCAACUGACCAUCAGUCAGUUGGUCUGUCCCAGACUAAGCUGUCUGAAGAGAAAGAUCUAUUUCUCCUCCUUCAAAAGUUCCUACUGUUAUACUAUAUUAACUCCAUAAACAUCAACUGAUGGGUUGCAACAGCAGUAGUUUCAUUUUUUACCCAAUGGAAACACCUUUUCCCUGCUUUUUUUUUUAACCCUUACCUUCCAUCUUAGAAUCAAUUCUGAAUGUUGUUUCCAAGGCAAUAGAACAAUAAGGGAAGGGUUAAGUGGCUUAAGUGGCUUGUCCAGGCUCACACUGAAGGAAGCAUCUGUGGCCAGAUUUGAAACCAGGACUUCCCAUUUCUAGACCUGGCACUCUUUCCACUAGCAGCCACCUAGCUGCACCCUUUCUCUCGACUUUUAACUAAGACUUUAGAAGCUACCAAAGUAAAGGGAAUGUGAGAUGGAUUUGGGACGGCACUGUAGCCCAACAAAAGAUCCUGAGUUCUGUUGACUAGAAUCAGCUGGGAUUACCUGCCAAAAAGAAUUAGGUGCCAGGAGGACUCCAGAGUAGAGAGCAGCAUGGAGCGCUUCACUAUUUUUGGGUCCCAGACACCACAGGCCCAAAUCCUGCAUCACUAUUCACUAGUGGUAUAUGUGGCAUGGAGAAACAGUGCCACCUGGGAGUAAAUGUACUUCUCAAAGUCAAUACAAACAGAUGCAAAUCAAAGGAGACAAAAUUAUCUGGGAGAAAGUGGUUGGUCGUCAGUCCCCAAAGAUGUCAUUUAGGGAAUGUUUAGAAAGAAGCACAAGCCCAAAAAGGACUAUCAAAGGAAACAAAGAUUGUAAAGCACUUCACUCACAGCCUGGCACAGAGUAAACAGGACAAUUGCUGUUAGAAUGUCAUUCCCAGGUCUUUGGAUUGGUAUACAACUGUAGCUGCAACAGGCCUGAAAAACCACAGUCCCUACCACAAUGUGGAGAGUAGGGGGGCCAAGGGUGAAGGAAAAAGGGGGACCUAGAGGAAUGGGAAUCUUAGGUGCCUGCUAUCUCUGUGACCUUGGGGGUCACAGCCCAUCCAAGAUCUCCAGAUCAAAGGGCCAUCUGGUUCAAACCUGAGGCUUAAAAAAGUUAACUUGAUUGCUAGGGCUACCUAGGCAGCAAGUAUCAAGCAUCAAAGGAAAAGGAUCACUUUCCUCUUCUGGGUCUGUUUUCUCAUCCAUAAAAGAAGGGAACAGGACAGUUUCUUUCAAAGAUUCCUACCAGAGACAAGUCUCCUACUUUACAUAUGAAUAAGGUCAAGAGAAGAUCUCUCAGAUGAUUAGAGAGCAGCUAGCUCAGGGCUCUCACCCCAAGAAGGAAAAAAGAGAGACAAUCUUACAGAAGUUUCCAUCAGUCAAGUCGAGAUAAUAAAGCAAUAAAGUUUCAAGGGAUUCAUGGAAGCAGAUUAAGAGAGACUAUCAGAGGAGCUGGCCAUUGUACCAAGAAGAAAAAUGGUCUUCUAGGCAUUUUUAAAUGGUCAUCGACAGCUUGAGGUGGGCACCCACCAAAGACGAGAUGAUUGAAGUCAUCCUGUGUCAGGUUUUGACAUCUAGCAGAUUGGCUCAGCCAAGUCCUGCCCAUCAGAACCUCUUCAGAAAGAACUAGGUCAAUUUCAGAGGGCUAGUGAUAAGGGGACACCCAGAAGAUAUGGGGCAUCUAGAAGCAGGUGAUACCUUCCCCCUAGCAUGUUUGUUUCUCAAUCAAUAAGGAGCUAUGGGCCAAACCCUUCUGGGUAAGUCUUGUACUUCAGUGCUCUACUGGGAGAGUCAUAUCCCAGCCUCAGGCAAAGGACCUAGCCCAGGCAUGCAACUGUCACCUCCAAAAGCUUGUGUCUUCCGGCUCACAUUCCCACUGAGCUCCUUGCCCAGAGACUCCUGGGGAAGGUGUGUGGGGUUUCAGGCUUGCAAUGCUACAUGUCCCUCCCAUGCCUUAAUCUUUAGUGUAAUUUAGCAUCAGUUCCACAGGAAGUCACUGAGAUUUCUGACUAGGAAAGGACUAUAAGGAAUCAAGAGGAAGCUUGAGUCCUAAUUUAGAGAGGAGGGAGUCAGUUUUGCCAAUUUUUUUUCUUUAUGAAACUAAAAACAUAUCCCAAAAGUUUUCUUUCAUAAUAUCUAGCAACAAUAAUAGAAUUUGCCCACUCUACUUAGGAUCAACUUUUAUAUGUCAUUUUAUAUAUGUAUAUUGUCUUACUUGUUUCUCAUCUAUGAGGUAUUAUCCCCAAUUUACAGAGGACAGAAGGCAAACAGAAGUAAAGUGACUUGUCUAGGAUCAUACUGCUAUUAAGUGUAUGAGGAGGGAUUGGUCUUCCUGACUAAGAAGAGGAGCUCUAACCAGUACAACAUACCUACCUCUGUGCAAUCAAUAAAUAACUUUACAUCCAGUAAAGUUUAGUUAGUUGAGUUAGGAAGCCUUUGAUAUAAGUGAGACAUAUAUAUGAUUAACCUUUCCCUAAAGAAGGAUUUAGUGUAGUUAGAUCAUAGAAUUUUUCUCUGGAAGGAACCCUCAGCAUUAAAUAGUACAACCUCUUUGUCUUACAAACAGGAAACCAAGACUUAGGAAGGAUCUCAGAAUCAUCGAUUCUGAGGGGUUUUAAAAGCCAUAUGAGUCAACCCCCUCAGUUUAUAAAUGAGAACCCAGAAUUCCAAGCAAGUUGUGAAUUGCCCACAGUCACAAACAUAGUUAAUGUUAGAACCUGGACAGGAACCCACAUCUCCCAGUUCUGUGAUCUUUCCAAUCUACCAUUAUACCCCUCUUAUUUUUCCAUCUGGGAGAUUGGUUCUCUACCAGGUUUGAGUUCAAUGGACUGAAAUGAAAAAUAAACCAAGGGAUUCAAUGAUUUAUUUCCUAUAAUAAAUACUACCCCUUUCAUGUAAAAAAUAGCUUCACCUUCCUCAUGAAAAAUUACUGAGAAGUAGGGGCAGCUAGGUGGCUCAGAACCAGGAUGACCUUCCUACCUGGGUGACUGUGGACAAGUCACUUAACCCCCAUUGCCUAGCUCUUACCACUCUUCUGCCUUGGAGCUAAUACACAGCAUUGAUUCUAAGAUGGAAGGUAAAGGUUUAACAAAAUAAUGGAUCUAAGGUGAGAAACUCCUUCACACACACCUUCUUGAUUAUACUUAUAAUCACAAUCUGCUCUCUACCCUCCAGGUGUAGAUUUUGUCCCUCCAUGAAUGAUAUCACUACAAUAAUAUAAAGGUCUACCACAGGGAGGAAGGGGUUAUGGGAAAACAUGGAAUCUCUGUUGAAAGGGAGUCUUUUCCCUUGAGAAACUUUUCUUUUUCUUUUUCUACCCAUUGUCAUCCCCCUUUAGAAUGUGAGUUCCUUCUAGGUAGGGAUCACCUUUUUUUCUCUUCCCCUGCACAGGUCCCAGCACACAGAAAGCACUUACUAAGCGCUUUAUCUGUCUGUAUCCCUAUCAAAUUGUUCCUGAAGCAUGCCAUUUGCUCACCAACUCAUUCAUUUAAUAGAUUACUUAUUGAGCACCCACUAUGGGUAAGUGCUUGUGUGAGGUGAUAUGGAGAAUGCAGGAGUACAAACAUGAGCAAUAUUCAUAAUCCCUGACUCCAAGAAGCUUAUAGUCCCCUAUAAAUGCAGUAUUAUGCAAUUCCUUAUAACAAGGAAAGCCUGUCAAGAAAAGACAAAGAUUUCUGGAUCCUAAAGCACCUAAUCAAAAGUCUUGGAUCUAGAAAGACUCACAGCUUUUAGCUCUCAAAAAAAAAAACUCAGAAUAAUGACAAGAAAAUUCACUUUUUGGCUAUAUUAUUCUCUUUCCUAAAAGUAGCAUUAUAAUAGGGUCUUAGGGGAAGGUAGGUGGUUUACUAGAAGGAGAGCUAGUCCUGGAGACAGAAGGUCCUGGGCUCAAAUCUGGCCUCAGAUACUUCAUAGCUGUGUGACCCUGAGUAAGUUAUUUAACCCCCAAUGUCUAGCUCUUAUUGCUCUUCUGCCUUGGAACCAAUACUCAGUAUUGAUUCUAAGAUAGGUGAGGGUUUUUUAAAAAUAAAAAAAUAACAAUAGGCUCUUACUAAAACAUAAGCAGAUAGAUGAUGAAGUGGAAAGAGUCCCUGGCCUGGAGUCAGGAAGACCAGGGUUCAAAUCUGGCCUCAAAAACUAGCUGUGUGAUCCUGGACAAGUUACUUAACCUUAUUUGCCUUGGUUUCCUCAUCUGUAAAAUGAGCUGGAGAAAGAAAUAGCAAACCACCCCAGUAUCUUUGCCAAGAAAACCCCAAAUGAGGUCAUGAAGAGUCAGACAUGACAGAACCACAAGAAAUAUUUAAUGCCUUUCAAAAUUUUCAUGAGCAAGUAUUUUCCUGAGCAAAACAACUUCAAAUUCUCCCUCAAGUCGGGUCAUUCAAAUCUCCACCAUUUUCAAAAUGGAUUUGCAACAUCAUCUGAAAUAUUGCCAAUCUCCAUACUAAUGUAAUAUGUAUUGGAGCAAGGGUCAGGAUGGCUAGACAACCCAAUUACUACACAAGAAACAAGAACAGAAAUUCUAAUGGAAUGAAUGGGUUGGAGAGAGACAGAAAGAUGAGGGGAUAGAAAGGGAGAGGGGGGGGAGUGAGGGAGAGAGAGGAAAGGAAGAGAGAGGGAGAGGAAGAGACAGA
Monodelphis domestica (gray short-tailed opossum) is the source of this 6635-nucleotide non-coding RNA. Lineage: Eukaryota; Metazoa; Chordata; Mammalia; Didelphimorphia; Didelphidae. The record is from RefSeq and is a predicted model, not a curated record.